RNAcentral lists this ribosomal RNA (484 nucleotides) under uncultured bacterium. Its description in RNAcentral is "partial 16S ribosomal RNA". It matches the Rfam family "Bacterial small subunit ribosomal RNA", at positions 30 to 507 of the family's 1533-position model. The record is from RNAcentral.
AUUGAACGCUGGCGGCAGGCCUAACACAUGCAAGUCGAGCGGUUGAAGCGCCUUUGCUUCUGGAUUCAGCGGCGGACGGCUGAGUAAUGCCUGGGCAUCCGCCUGCUUGUGGUGGAUUACGUCCGGAAACCGGCGGUUAUACCCCAUACCUCCUGGGGGUGAGCGUGGGGGACCUUAGGACCUUCCGCUAUCAGAUGAUCCUAGGUCGGCCUAGCUAGUUGGUGGGGUAAAGGCCUACCAAGGCGACGAUCCGUGACUGGUCUGAGAGGAUGCUCAGUCACACUAGAACGGGAGCAAGGUCCAGACUCCGACGGGAGGCAGCAGAGGGGAAGAUUGGACAGUGGGCGAGAGCCUGAUCCAGCCAUGCCGCGUGUGUGAAGAAGGGCUUGGGAUUGUAAAGCACAUUAAGGUGGGAGGAAGGGCAGUAAGUUAAUACCUUGCUGUUUUGACGUUACCAACAGAGUAAGCACCGGCUAACUUCGUG